UGGGGAAUUUUGCACAAUGGGGGAAACCCUGAUGCAGCGACGCCGCGUGAUUUAGAAGGCCUUCGGGUUGUAAAAAUCUUUUGUAUGGGAAGAAAAUGACAGUACCAUACGAAUAAGGACCGGCUAAUUACGUGCCAGCAGCCGCGGUAAUACGUAAGGUCCGAGCGUUGUCCGGAAUCAUUGGGCGUAAAGAGUGCGUAGGCGGCAAAUUAAGUCAGAUGUGAAAACUAAGGGCUCAACCCAUAGAUUGCAUCUGAAACUGAUAUGCUUGAGUCAAGGAGAGGAAAGUGGAAUUCCUAGUGUAGCGGUGGAAUGCGUAGAUAUUAGGAGGAAUACCGGUGGCGAAGGCGACUUUCUGGACUUGAACUGACGCUGAGGCACGAAAGCGUGGGGAGCAAACAGG
RNAcentral lists this ribosomal RNA (403 nucleotides) under Verrucomicrobiota bacterium. Its description in RNAcentral is "Verrucomicrobia bacterium partial 16S ribosomal RNA". It matches the Rfam family "Bacterial small subunit ribosomal RNA", at positions 355 to 776 of the family's 1533-position model. The record is from RNAcentral. Lineage: Bacteria; Pseudomonadati; Verrucomicrobiota.